RNAcentral lists this ribosomal RNA (492 nucleotides) under uncultured bacterium. RNAcentral's name for it is "partial 16S ribosomal RNA". It matches the Rfam family "Bacterial small subunit ribosomal RNA", at positions 29 to 507 of the family's 1533-position model. The record is from RNAcentral.
AGUGAACGCUGGCGGUAGGCCUAACACAUGCAAGUCGAACGGCAGCACAGUAAGAGCUUGCUCUUACGGGUGGCGAGUGGCGGACGGGUGAGGAAUACAUCGGAAUCUACUUUUUCGUGGGGGAUAACGUAGGGAAACUUACGCUAAUACCGCAUACGACCUACGGGUGAAAGCAGGGGAUCUUCGGACCUUGCGCGAUUGAAUGAGCCGAUGUCGGAUUAGCUAGUUGGCGGGGUAAAGGCCCACCAAGGCGACGAUCCGUAGCUGGUCUGAGAGGAUGAUCAGCCACACUGGAACUGAGACACGGUCCAGACUCCUACGGGAGGCAGCAGUGGGGAAUAUUGCACAAUGGGCGCAAGCCUGAUCGAGCCACGCCGCGUGAAUGAUGAAGGCCUUCGGGUCGUAAAGCUCUGUUGUUAGGAAAGAAAAUCAGUAGAUGAAACCCCCGCUGUCUUGACGGUACCUAAUGAAUAAGCACCGGCUAACUUCGUG